GCAUAAUAGCUUGCCUUCUAAUUAAAGGCUUGUAUGAAUGAACCAACGUGAGCUUAGCUGUCUCUACUACGCACAGAUAACUUAACCUUUAUGUGAAAAGGCAUUAAUAUAAUUAAAAGACAAGAAGACCCUGUCGAGCUUAAUUGUAACUUUCUUCAGAGAAAAAUAACUUUAAUCUCACCCUACAACACUCAAUUUAGUUGGGGCAACACAGGAACAUAUAAACCUUCCUUACACAUAUCUUUAUUUAUCUCAACUUCCCAACACUGUUGAACUUAAAAUAAAAGCUACCGCAGGGAUAACAGGUUAAUUUUUCUCGAAAGUACACAUUAACAGAAAAGU
This 342-nucleotide ribosomal RNA is filed under the name Euphrosine sp. VR-2006. RNAcentral's name for it is "partial 16S ribosomal RNA". It matches the Rfam family "Archaeal large subunit ribosomal RNA", at positions 2036 to 2586 of the family's 2987-position model. The record is from RNAcentral. Lineage: Eukaryota; Metazoa; Annelida; Polychaeta; Eunicida; Euphrosinidae.